Carcharodon carcharias (great white shark) is the source of this 1106-nucleotide long non-coding RNA. RefSeq lists it as uncharacterized. The record is from RefSeq and is a predicted model, not a curated record. The transcript has 2 exons. Lineage: Eukaryota; Metazoa; Chordata; Chondrichthyes; Lamniformes; Lamnidae.
AGGAGCUUUUCGAUUGAUUGUGUGCUAACUCUAAGCAUCUGGACAACAGACACAAUAUUCCCACCACGGCAAGGAUGCUGAAUGAGCAAGCCGAGGCCAGAGGCUGAGCCCUUAAUUUGCUGUCAGGAUGGCGGGAAGGCUCAGGGUCCUUGCUGUUAUUUAUGCGUGAAUGCUACACCCACUUCAGUUGGAUGAGGCAGAAUCUUCAAGACUUCGUGAGUCAACAGAUUGGUCUCAGGGACCAAGAUGAGAAAACGGCAGAAGGCACAGAAACCAAGAGAAGACCCUAGAAGUUGUGAGACCCCCCUGAAAAGGCAUUGUAUCCUGUCACGCUGCGACCAGUGGAAUGUUAAGUAUUAAUUUUUGUCAUUCAGUAAACCUUGCCUGUUUGCACUCUGUAUCACUGAUUGUCCCUUUCGCCAAUAGGGUUAUUCUCCUAGAAGAAUUUCCUUACUCUGGAGGGUAGCACAGAGUUGAACUCUCAACACAGAACAAGCUAUCCCAUUGAGAACCAUUGUGGUGAAAUCACUGGAGGUUAACCUUUCUCCUUCUUUCUGUGUGGAAGGAGCGGCUACAGCAGCCAAGAUUCCUGGUGGAAGUUUUCAAGACAUGGUGCUGCUGAGGAACCGGAGACCCACCACGGAGCUGAGCCAAGCACUUUGCAUGACUGGAAAAUAAGGCUUCUUGCAACUUUCAAUUUUCAUCUGAUCAUCAAUCUUGGGAAGAUCAUGGAAAUAAGCCAGGCAUCUGGCUUAUUAGACAUAAGACAUCUUCAAUGAUCUACAAGUGUUUCCUUUUCCAACAUUGAAUCUUCAAAAAGACUGCAGUGUUGGUACACCAGAGACAACUAGAUGGAGUGAAUUGUGCUUUGAAUGCCUUUGACAACGGGACUUCAAUGAAAGGGUCAGAACGAAUUUCCAAUUCAAAACUGAUCACCUUCCGAACAGAGUAUCCCAAAGGCUGGGAUGCCAUUUUUGAUUUGUAAAUGUGCUACAAACACCUAAUUUGCAUUGCCUUUGUUAAAUUCUCAUUUAAAUUUAUAUAGAAUGUAUUCAAAUAAAGCUUGAGUUAGUUAAGAUGUUAAAAUAAAAGCUUCUUCACCUGUC